Molecule: long non-coding RNA, 387 nt
Filed under: Heterocephalus glaber (naked mole-rat)
Lineage: Eukaryota; Metazoa; Chordata; Mammalia; Rodentia; Bathyergidae
Description: lncRNA (ENSHGLG00100043567.1)
Source: RNAcentral
GGCCGCCGGGCGGGCCUGCGAGCGCGGGCGCAGAUUAUCCCAACUCCCUGGCAAGGCACAGACCUGGGAUCUCACCAGCCCAAACUGCAGUCUUUUUCCAGAAGUUUUGAGGUGUGUACGGUGCCACUAGGUGAGCCCCCAGCCCUGGUGACUGGCUUAGCUUUCCAUCGCUGUAAGGAAAUGCAAGAAAGCACUGACUUUUUUUUUUUUUUUUGGUACCAGGGAUCGAACUUGGGACCUUGCCUUUGUGAGACAGGUGGUAGAACCACUGAGCUAAAUGCCUGGCCCAAGAAAGCAUUGACUUAUAAAGAGAAGAGCUUACUCCCUUCUGAUGCUCUGGUCCCAUAUCGGGAGGCCCAGCUGGAUGGCAGUGGAGCAGACUGCUCC